RNAcentral lists this long non-coding RNA (4470 nucleotides) under Sus scrofa (pig). Its description in RNAcentral is "lncRNA (ENSSSCG00050015713.1)". The record is from RNAcentral. Lineage: Eukaryota; Metazoa; Chordata; Mammalia; Artiodactyla; Suidae.
CACGCACCGCCCCGCUCGACUGCCGCCUCCCGCCAGCAGCUUCUGGAAAACGGCGCGCCGGCCCCCCGGGGCAGGAAGAAGGGCCAAAGAAGAGGGGGAAGGGGCUAGGACUUCCUGAGCACCAGCCUCCGAAGGCCUGAGGGAAGGGGAUUUCAGUUCUGAGUCGAAAAGUGAAGACCACUUCUGGGCAAAAUUGUAAAGCAGAGGAAGGGAAGAAAAUGGAAGAAGCAAGAAGCAAGGAUUGAGAAGAACUGCCAUGUGCCAGAUCAGCCCCCCUUGAAGUAAGAAAUGUCAUCAGGGUACUAAGAGAUAAAUAAGAAUGGAAACUUCUAGAAGAAAGAAAUCCACUAAGGUCGGUGAGUUUUAAAACCUAACAUUUCUUCUGGGCAUAAAAAUAACGCAUUAUUAUAGAAAUCCUGGGAAAGUAAGGUAAAUUUCUAGAAACGGAACUCAAAAUCAAAAAUGAAGGUAAUGUUUAAGUUUUUGCUGUAUGUUGCCCAAUUACCCCUAAUUCCACCAAUGUUCAUGUUUAAUUAUAUAACCAUACCUUACCACAAAGUGUUAACAAUUUUAAUUGACAACUUGACAAAAUAAAAUGGUAUCGAAUUUAUAAAUUUGCAUUUUAUUGAUUGCUAGGUCCAGUGUAUUGUUACUUCUCACUUGGAUUUUAUUUUUCUGUGUAUGGAAUUUCUUAGUUCUCCUACUGAGAUCUUCAUUUUCAUAUUAGUAAUUUACAAAAACUCUUUACAUACUAACCACUUAAUUUGGCGACUUAUAAACUGAGUGCUGUUCUCAUUUUUGAUCUGUCUACUCUUGAGCAUCACACUUAAACAAGUAUUUCUUUACAAUAUUAUUUUAAAAUCUCAACUGGCAAAGGAAUCACCUUGCACAUACAAUAUAGGAAAAUUUGCAGCUUUACUAUAGUUACACUGAAUUUAUAAAUGAUCUUUGGUAAUUAAUAUUACCUGUUUUUCAUUGUGCAUCUGUCUUUUUUGAUUCUUAAGCACCAUGUUUUCUUUGUGCUGAUGAAUCUUUUGUAGACCCUGUUUUUCACUGUAUAUGUGAGUGCACAUAUGUGUGUGCACGUGGGUGUUUAGCCCACUGUUUAGUUUUGAAUGAUGCACACAUCUCGAGGGCUGUCUCUUGAUCUUGUAUUACACAGCGAGAGCAUGGUCAGUCCCCCUUGCAUGCCCAGGCUCACCCUGGGAAUGCUGCUGCUGGAAUCUUGCCUCAGAUCACAAGCUGGAUGGCAGCUUGGGCUGUAUUUACAUUUUCAGUUCAGUGAUGUAGCAGUCUGAGAUGAGAGGGGGGAAGAGCCAUGUGUAUUAACCUUGCAGAGAACUUCUACUUUCUGAUUCGUUUUUGUUUUUGUUUUGUUUUGUUUUGUUGCUUUUUAGAGCUGUACCCGUGGCAUAUGGAAGUUCCAGGCAAGGGGGUGAAUCAGAGCUGCAGCUGCCAGCCUAACCACAGCCACAGCAAUGCAGGAUUUGAGCUGCAUCUGCGACCUAUACCACAGCUCAUGGCAAUGCUGGAUCCCCAACCCACUGAGCAAGGCCACAGAUUGAACCCACCUCCUCCUGGAUACUAGUCGGAUUCAGAUUCAUCUCUGCUGCACCACAAUGGGAACUCCCCACUUUCUUUUUUUGUUUUUAGUGUGACAGCUGCACCAGAUGUAUAGAUCAUCUUUCCAUAGGCACACAGUUUGACUGCGUUAUUCCUUUUCCCAGGGCUCCUAACUAAGAGAAACCUGACCAACUUGGUGUAGUUGUAUAGCUUGGUAUCCACCCUCAUCCCUCAUUGUCCCCAUGCUGCAGAACUGUAUUUUUAACCUUAGACAACUUACUUAACCUCUCUGUGUUAAAAUAGUAGUAACUACUCAACAGUUUAUUGUAAGAAUUAUACGAUGUAAUACAUAGAAAGAUCUCAGAACCAUGCCUGGCAUGUAGCAUAUAUCCAAAAAGGAUUAACUAAGUGGGGAGCCUAGCCUUCUCCUCUUGCCAAUAGUAGCAAGGCACCAGAAGUCGCUGAUGAAGGCUGGAUGGGAAGCCGGAACUGUCAUCCUCACUAUCUAGUAACAAACUCACCCUUCAUGAUACCAGUGAAGACCAUUUGAGGAAAUUGGACUUUGAUCCCACCCAGCAGUAAUGAGAUGCCCUCCUUAUACCCACUGUGAUGGUGUCAAAGAGGCCUAGGUAGGACUCAGGACUUUUACCACCACCCAGUAAUGAGGCCACCCCCUCCCUAUGGUGUCAGUGGAAGCCUCAUGAGUGAUGAGGUGCUCUUACUCAUCCCUGCCAGGGAGGUAUCAGUGGGGACCCAGUGGGGCCCAGAACUCUUGUCUUGACUCAGCAGUAAGGAGAAGGUAACACCCCAGGGUCUCAGUGGAGGCCAAGUGGAAAAGCUGGACCUUUAGCCCUACAUGGCAGCCACAAAUCUGUGACCCUUCCCUGCUUCCCCUGCCAGAGUUGUGAUGGAGGAAGCACACUGAAAUAGAAGAUUUAAAUAAGAUCCAGAGAUUCAUAAUAUAAUUCCCCAAUGGUAUGAACUUCCACCAAAAAUCGCUGGUUAUGCCAAGAACCAGAAAGAUCUCCAAUUGAAUGAAAAAAAAAAGAUAAUUGAUGGAUGCCAAAGAUGAUGGAGGUGUUAGAAUUAUCUGACAAAGAUUUUAAAGUAGCAAUGAUAAAUAGGCUUCAUCCUAUUUAGGAACAUUCUUGAAACAAGUGAAACACAGUCUCAGCUAAGACCUAGAAAAUCACAACAAAUAGUAGAUAUAAAAAUGAACUAAAUGGAAAUUUUAGGAGCUCAAAAGACAAUAAUGGAAAUGAAAACCUCAGUGAACAGAUUUAAGAAUAUGAGAAAAUCCCAAAACAGGAUGAAUCCAAGGAAUUCAUACCAACAGACAUCAUAAUGAAACAUCUGAAAGCUAAAAACAAAAAAUAUCUUGAUAGCAGCAAUAGAGAGAUGACAACUUACCUACAAGAGAAAAGCAAUUUUUUUUUUUUCUGUCUUUUUAGGUCCUCACCCAUGGCAUACGGAGGUUCCCAGGCUAGGAGUCCAAUCGGAACUGCAGCUGCCGGCCUCCACCACAGCCACAGCAAUGCAUGAUCCAAGCCAUGUCUGUUAUCUACACCACAGCUCACAGCAAUGCUGGAUCCUUAACCCACUGAGCAAGGCCAAGGAUCAAAUCUGCAUCCUCAUGGAUACUAGUUGGGUUUGCUGGCCAUUACGACCUGAACUCCAAGAAAAGCAAUUCAAAUGAAAGCACAUUUUUCAUCAGAAACCAUUAGACCAGAGGAAGUGGCACAACAUUUUUUAAGUGCUGAAAGAAAAUAAUUUUCAACCUCCAAUCCUGUAUCUAGAGACAGUAAUCUUCAGGAAUGAAGGGAAAAUCAGGACGCUGUGUGAUGAAGGAAAACUAAGGUAAUAGCUCAUUGGGAAAACUACCCGAAAAGAAGAGCUAGAAAAAUUUCUCUAAACGGAAUGCUAGUGAUAAGCAAAACAUUUUGGAACAUCAGGGAGAAAAGAGAGAAUGUGGUUAGCAAAAAUGAGUAAAUACAACAGGUUUCUCUCAAGUCUCCUAAAUUAUGUUUGAUGAUGCAAAAAUUAUAAUACUAUCUGAUAUGGUUAUAAAUUGCGUAGAGAAAAAAUUUAAAACAAUUAUUAUUAUUAUUAUUAUUAUUUGUCUUUUUGCCAUUUCUUGGGCCACUCCCACGGCAUAUGGAGGUUCCCAGGCUAGGGGUCUAAUCGGAGCUGAGCUGCCAGACUACACCAGAGCUGCAGCAAUGUGGGAUCCGAGCCGCAUCUGCUACCUACACCACAGCUCAUGGCAACGCCAGAUCAUUAACCCACUGAGCAAGGGCAGGGAUCGAACCUGCAACCUCAUGGUUCCUAGUCGGAUUCCUUAACCACUGCGCCACGACGGGAACUCCUAAAACAAUUAUAUUCUGCAAGUUCCUGUCAAGGCUCAGCAGUAAUGAACCCAACUAUUAACCAUGAGGACACGGGUUCGAUCCCCGGCCUCACUCAGUGGGUUAAGGAUCUGGCGUUGCCAUGAGCUGUGGUGUAGGUCACAGAAGCGGCUUGGGUCUAGCGUUGCUGUGGCUGUGGUGUAGGCUGGCAACUGCAGCUCCAAUUUGACCCUUAGCCUGGAAACUUCCAUAUGCCAAGGGUGUGGCCGUAAAAAGACAAAAAAUUUAAAAACCAAUUAUAGUCUGAAUGGGAAGAGUCAAGUUCCAUAUUGGGUGGUACGGUUUCUACACUUCACUAGAACUGGUAAAAUGAUGAUAGCAGUAACUUAUGCACAUAUACUGUAAUAUCUAGAGCAACCACUAAAAGAACUAUCUAAAUAGGCAUACUCAAAAACACUACAGAUCAAUAAAAAUGGAAUUCUGAAAAAUGCUUAAGUAACCCAGUGGAAGGCAAGAAAAAGAAAGGAGAUGUGAAAAACCAGGAGGGAAAAAAAAAAAAAAA